RNAcentral lists this small nuclear RNA (164 nucleotides) under Suricata suricatta (meerkat). RNAcentral's name for it is "U2 spliceosomal RNA (ENSSSUG00005013765.1)". It matches the Rfam family "U2 spliceosomal RNA". From Rfam's summary of the family: U2 is a small nuclear RNA (snRNA) component of the spliceosome (involved in pre-mRNA splicing). Lineage: Eukaryota; Metazoa; Chordata; Mammalia; Carnivora; Herpestidae. The record is from Rfam by way of RNAcentral.
AUCACUUCUCGGCCUUUUGGCUAAGAUCAAGUGUAGCAUCAAGCCUGCCUCCAACUCCACAAGUGGAGGAAAAUUCAGGCAUUUUAUUGGAUUUCAGAAUUCUCCAAGAACUCUUAAGAAAGCAGAAAUUCACGGGUUUUUGGCAUUUCAAGAACUCACUGUUG